GGAAGCUUGCUUCCUAUGGACUCUAGUGGCAAACGGGUGAGUAACGCGUAAGCAACCUGCCCUCCGGAUGGGGACAACAGCUGGAAACGGCUGCUAAUACCGAAUACGUUUUCACUGCCGCAUGGCAGUGGGAAGAAAGGUGGCCUCUGAAUAUGCUACCGCCGGGGGAGGGGCUUGCGUCUGAUUAGCUAGUUGGAGGGGUAACGGCCCACCAAGGCGACGAUCAGUA
Molecule: ribosomal RNA, 229 nt
Filed under: Megasphaera stantonii
Lineage: Bacteria; Bacillati; Bacillota; Negativicutes; Veillonellales; Veillonellaceae
Description: partial 16S ribosomal RNA
Rfam family: Bacterial small subunit ribosomal RNA
Source: RNAcentral